CGCCGCCCGCGGGUAUUAAUAGCCGAGCGUCCCCGCCGCACGCGCAGCCGGAGCCGCCGCGCCCUCGGCCGCCGGGAGCUCGGAGCUGCGGAGCCCAGAGGCCGGGAGUGGGAGCCGGAGCCGCCUGCGUCGUGGAGGCAUCAUAUAAUCUGCUCUCAUCAUGGGAGAAAUAGAGCAGAGGCCAACUCCAGGAUCGAGACUGGGGGCAGCGGAGAAUUCGGGGAUCAGUACCUUGGAACAUGGACAGAAGCCUCCCCCGACGCCUUCAGGAAAACUCAUGUCCGUCAGAAUCCAGAUGCUGGAUGACACCCAGGAGGCCUUUGAAGUUCCGCAAAGAGCCCCGGGGAAAGUGCUGCUGGAUGCGGUGUGCAGCCACCUGAACCUCGUGGAAGGAGACUAUUUUGGCCUCGAGUUUCCCGACCACAAGAAGAUCACGGUGUGGCUGGAUCUCUUAAAACCUAUUGUCAAGCAGAUUAGAAGGCCAAAGCAUGUCGUUGUUAAGUUUGUGGUGAAAUUCUUUCCACCUGACCACACACAGCUCCAAGAAGAACUCACAAGGUACCUGUUUGCUCUGCAGGUGAAGCAGGACCUGGCUCAAGGCAGGCUGACAUGUAGUGACACCAGCGCUGCCCUCUUGGUCUCACACAUUGUGCAAUCUGAGAUUGGGGAUUUUGAUGAAGCAUCGGACAGAGAGCAUUUAGCAAAAAAUAAGUACAUACCUCAGCAAGAUGCACUAGAAGACAAAAUUGUGGAAUUUCACCAUAACCACAUUGGACAAACACCCGCAGAAUCGGAUUUCCAGCUCCUGGAGAUUGCCCGCAGGCUGGAGAUGUACGGCGUCCGAUUGCACCCAGCUAAGGACCGGGAAGGCACUAAGAUCAACCUGGCUGUGGCCAACACGGGGAUUCUAGUGUUUCAGGGUUUUACGAAGAUCAAUGCCUUCAACUGGGCAAAGGUGCGGAAGCUGAGCUUCAAGAGGAAGCGCUUUCUCAUCAAGCUCCGCCCAGAUGUGAACAGCUCAUACCAGGAUACCUUGGAAUUCCUAAUGGCCAGUCGGGACUUCUGCAAAUCCUUCUGGAAAAUCUGUGUUGAACAUCAUGCCUUUUUUAGACUUUUUGAAGAGCCCAAACCGAAGCCAAAGCCUGUUCUGUUUAGCCGAGGGUCAUCGUUUCGGUUCAGUGGCCGGACUCAGAAGCAGGUUCUCGACUAUGUUAAAGAAGGAGGACAUAAGAAGGUGCAGUUUGAAAGGAAACACAGCAAGAUUCAUUCCAUCAGAAGCCUUGCUACGCAGCCUGCAGAGCCGAAUUCAGAAGUGCCAAAACAAGCUCAGCAGAGCGCCAGCCUUACCUUCGGAGAAGGUGCCGCAUCCCCGGGCGGCCAGAGCUGCCAGCCGGGAAGGGACCCGCCCGCUUCGGCCGAUGAGCACGGGCCACAGCGCAACCCCACUCCGCAGAGGAGCCCGGCGGGGAGCACGAAGGCAGACGGGGCCGGCAGGGCGGAGACGGAGGAAGAGGAGGAGGUCGCUAAGGACAGGACCCAGCAGAGUAGACCUCGGCCCCCGCAGCCAAGCACAGGCUCCCUGACUGGCAGCCCUCACCUUUCAGAGCUGUCCAUCAACUCGCAGGGAGGAGCUGCGCCCACCAGCACCGUCCUGUCACCCAACCUGAGCCCCGACACCAAGCAGGCCUCCCCCUUGGUCAGCCCGUUGCUGAACGACCAGGCGGGCCCUCGGACUGACGACGAGGACGACGGCCGGAGAAAGAGAUUUCCAACUGACAAAGCGUACUUCAUUGCUAAGGAAGUCUCCACCACUGAGAGAACGUAUCUGAAGGAUCUCGAAGUCAUCACUUCGUGGUUUCAGAGCACAGUAAGCAAAGAGGACUCCAUGCCCGAAACCUUGAAAAGUCUCAUUUUCCCGAAUUUUGAACCUUUGCACAAAUUUCAUACAAAUUUUCUCAAGGAAAUUGAGCAACGACUCGCCCUGUGGGAAGGCCGCUCGAAUGCUCACAUCAGAGGAGAUUACCAAAGAAUUGGAGAUGUGUUGCUGAAGAACAUUCAGGGCAUGAAGCAACUGGCGGCGCAUCUGUGGAAGCACAGCGAGGCUCUGGAGGCGCUGGAGACCGGCAUCCGGGGCUCCCGGCGGCUGGAGAGCUUGUGCCGAGACUUCGAGCUGCAGAAGGUGUGCUACCUGUCGCUCAACACCUUCCUCCUGCGCCCGCUGCACCGGCUUAUGCACUACAAGCAGGUCCUGGAGCGGCUGUGCAAGCACCACCCGCCCAGCCACACCGACUUCAGGGACUGCCGAGCUGCUUUGGCAGAGAUCACGGAAAUGGUGGCCCAGCUUCACGGUACGAUGAUCAAGAUGGAGAAUUUCCAGAAGCUGCAUGAACUCAAGAAAGAUUUGAUUGGCGUUGACAAUCUUGUGAUUCCAGGAAGGGAAUUCAUCCGCCUGGGCAGCCUCAGCAAGCUCUCCGGGAAGGGGCUCCAGCAGCGCAUGUUCUUCCUGUUCAACGACGUCUUGCUCUACACGAGCAGGGGGCUGACGGCCUCGAAUCAGUUUAAAGUUCACGGGCAGCUCCCGCUCUACGGCAUGACCAUGGAGGAAAGUGAGGACGAGUGGGGCGUGCCCCACUGCCUCACCCUGCGGGGCCAGCGCCAGUCCAUCGUCGUGGCUGCCAGUUCUCGGUCCGAGAUGGAAAAGUGGGUGGAGGACAUACAGAUGGCCAUUGACUUGGCCGAGAAAAGCAGCGGCCCCGCCCCCGAGUUCCUGGCCAGCAGCCCUCCUGACAGCAAGUCCCCGGAGGAGGCAGCGGGCGACCAGGAGUCGGAGGACGACCUCAGCGCCUCGCGCACCUCGUUGGAGCGCCAGGCCCCGCACCGCGGCAACACCAUGGUGCACGUGUGCUGGCACCGCAACACCAGCGUCUCCAUGGUGGACUUCAGCGUGGCCGUGGAGGUAGGGCAGGCGGCGGGGGCUCAGGCCACGGGCACCGGCCUUCUGAGCAUGCGCGCUCUGUGGGCCGGCAGGUGCACCGGCCUUGGCGUCUGUCCGUUCCCAGGCCGCCUGUGCAAGUGAUGGUUUUCUUUUGUUCUCUGGACCGUGCCCUCUCCUCUCGCGGAGUUAGCCACAGGGCGGGGACUGUGCGUGCCUUUAUUCGUGUGUCCGCGCCGAGAGGUCCGGAUGGGCCGCGCAGGCGCCGUUCUUGCUGUGCCCUGGAGCAGCCCCCGGAAUCGGGUGCGGGGAGGCGGUAUGGUUGGAAAGCUGCUGCCAGCCAGGGCCACAGCGGGUAGGUGUAUUUCAUGGAAGAACCUGCAAGAAGCCGGCUCUCGGAGCGUCCCGAAGAUCUGGCUUUGGGGAUGGGGGCUCUCCCCGUAUUGCGACCGUGAACCUUCUAGAACUCUCCAAACCUUAUUCCCUAAGCGUCCUCCAGUCCAGGUCCGUAAUCCCUAACCUUUCAGAUAAUGCGAAGCCCAGAAAGCUCUAAAACCGUGACGUUCUCUUCAUACCCCACUGACAGCAGAACCUGACCUGACCGGUCAGGAGGCUGUUCAUCGGUUUUGCGAGCGCGUCCUGUUUUAUACUACAGCGUCGCUGUGUUUGAUUCUGGGCUACAACCCCAGACCCCACUGCCUGGGGUGUCAUAGAGGACAGGCACUGGAUUAUCUUUCUAAAAUCUGACAAAUUCUGAAUUCCUAAGUGUGCCUGGCCCGAAAAUGUCACCUAGGAGAUUGUGAGCCACGAACAGCGGUGCGUUUGCUUUCGGAACCAACAGUGUGUUGGCUCAAAUGAGCCGAACAUUUCUUGAUGGGUAGUCCAUAGGGGUUCUCUGAGAUUGUUUUCUGGAACUGAGCUUCACAGUUCCACGGAACUGCGUUUGUCGAGUUUCCCUGCUACAGCUAAUGUUCUAAAACCCAUGCUUCCCCGUCAAGACAUCCUUAUCCUCGGGGCUGUCCCAGCACGUGGAGCUCCCCGACUGUGCGUGGCCUUCCGUCUCCUGCAUCCGCCCCACGGCGGGGGAGGGGGCUUUCUCUUCCCGAGGGGCUCACUGUAUUCAUCCUUCCCAUCACAUUUCCACUGCACCUGUUGGCGAAGCUUGCCAACCGGAGAUUUCUUCCAGGGGACAGGGAUCUUUCCAGCAAGGAGGGGGCAGUGGCCAUCUGGAGGCAAAAAAUACCUGAUGACAUCUCUCUGUCCAGGCGAGGCCUGGGGAAGGGUGGGGCCGUGCGGGAGAAGUCCUCUUUGCUUCGCUUUAUACUCACCUUUGCGAUGUGUAGUCAGGGCUGUGGAGGUGUGGGAACUUGGUAGGCAUGAACCUUCCUCCUUAACCCCUGGAGGCAGGCAGGCCAUUCAAGAAUGCGGCCCAGACACAGCUCCUCGAGCCCAGCUUUUCAGGGUGACAGCCUGCACUGGUGCUGUGUGUGCGCACACGCGCGCGUGUCAGCACACCGAGUGGUCAGCACACCAAGUGGUCAGCACGCUGCAGCCUCAGACCAAACCCUGCCUGCCCCCUGCUUGGUUACAGCCCGUCAGCGAAGAACAGGGUUUUCCGUUUUUGAGUGGUUACUACAACUGUCUUUGAUUUUGCCCCUUGGCCCAAAAAGCCUAAAAUGGUAUUUGGCCCUUUGAGGAAAGGUUUGCUGAACGUUGUAGCCCACGCGAGCGAGCCCUGAGCCAGUGUGGUUUUAAGGUGGCAGUGACGCAGCUUGGAUGCUCGUGGAACUGGCGCGUCUGUCACUCUGUAAAUGUCCCUGCCUUGCCCGAUCCCCCUUCCCCAAGGCGUGUGGCUUCAGUCUGGUGUCCGUGAUGGGCUCCUGUGGGUGCCACAUGCCCCUGGAUGACCGGAGUUGGGGGAAGGGGGACGAGGGAGUGGCUCCUUCCUUCUUGACGUGCUGCUUCCUUACCGUCCCCAGCACCAGAUUCUCUCUUCUAGGGCUCGUGCAGGUAGAAGUGAGUGAGGGGGGUGUUUGUUUGGGGGCAGCGUGAAAUUUAGCUGGCCUCCGUAGAAAGUCUGGGGGCACCGUCGACCCUCGCGUAGGCCAUAGGGCCAGCUGAGGAUUCAGAAGUGAAACCAUCAAAGUUGUGUUGUAGGACUGGAGUUGGGAGGCGGUGGGGGCUGGGGAGAGAGGAGGGUGUCACUCAGCCGU
Orcinus orca (killer whale) is the source of this 5145-nucleotide RNA transcript. It is a transcript of the gene named FERM, ARH/RhoGEF and pleckstrin domain protein 1, with no coding region annotated. The transcript has 25 exons. The record is from RefSeq and is a predicted model, not a curated record. Lineage: Eukaryota; Metazoa; Chordata; Mammalia; Artiodactyla; Delphinidae.